Molecule: transfer RNA, 77 nt
Filed under: Owenweeksia sp. TMED14
Lineage: Bacteria; Pseudomonadati; Bacteroidota; Flavobacteriia; Flavobacteriales; Owenweeksiaceae
Description: tRNA-Met
Rfam family: tRNA
About the family: Transfer RNA (tRNA) molecules are approximately 80 nucleotides in length. Their secondary structure includes four short double-helical elements and three loops (D, anti-codon, and T loops).
Source: RNAcentral
GGCGAGGUAGCUCAGGCGGUUAGAGCGCAGGAUUCAUAACCCUGAGGUCGCGAGUUCAAUUCUCGCUCUCGCUACAA